AUUGAAAAGUCUCCACUCAAUCUCAAAUCUCUCCUACCCUAACCCUCAAAGGUUCAAUUUGUGUGUUCAAGCUGAGUCUGCUUCUAGUCUAAAUCUUCUACGGUAUUUUUGGUGGCCGGCUAAAAUUGAAGUAUGACGCCGUGUUUAACCACGUGGGUUUUAAAAGAAGAGUGAAACGUUCACUAGUGGAGAUGGUUUUAGGAAUUGUAUCCUUAAAAUGGAGGAACGUGAGAGAGUCAAGUGACGUGUUUUUUCUCUGGACUCUGAGUCUCCAUUCGGCAAUCAUCUUCAUUCUUCACCAAAAGAAUUUUCUCUAUUCCCUAUACCACGAUUCAUAUUUGCCGUUAAUCUCUCGUCGAAAAUCUGAAGUACUCGUUCAUUUUUUCGUCAAUCUUUUUUCGAGACUCGAAUUCAAGCUAAGUUUUAAAAGUGGCCAACCAGGCUAUCGACUUGAACGUGCGGAUUGAGGAAGCACGGGUAAAACUUUCGCCAGAGAAGUUAAAGGCAGAGACAUAUUCCUGUUGUCUGUUGAGGCUGUGAGGGAACUAUAUGAGAUUGUUCCAACUCAUAAAUGGAAAGACGGAGAAAACAGAAUCAACAAAAUAGUUUUUAUAGGUGGAUUGUUAAAUGAAGAGCUAUCAACCUGGUCAUAUGAUAAAAAAGGAAAGAGUAAACUAUUAUAUUGGUUGUAAUCUUAUUUUUUCCCUCUUUCUCGAGUUUAAGCAAUCAUGGAUAUUAAAAUUUAAAAAAAAAAAAUUAUAUUGGUUGUUCUUAUUCACUUUUAUCCAAAAUCGAAAACAUUUUGCUUAUAAAAUUGUGCAAUUAGUUUAUCUUAAUUUACAUUUGAUCAGGUCUUUGUUUUAUUUUUUAUUUUUUUGAUUUUCUUGGUUGUGAAAGUUCUUGUUAUCAUAUUCUGAUUUCUCACUGCUUGCCUGUGGAUUUUGUUUAUGUAUAACGUAACGUAACAUUGUGACAAGGAAGAUGCUUUUUGAUGGGAAGCUAGGCAUUGCUGGUGGGCAGGAGACUCGCAAGGACUUUGAUUUGUUUGUGAUUGGAGCUAGCGGUGGUGAAGUUUGUUCCUCACAAUUUCCUAGUCUAGAACUCAUUUUGUUUGUGAUGGGUUGUAACAACUAAAUAUUGGUUGCUAAUGUUGCAUCUUUUCCGACCAAAAAUUGGUAGUU
Olea europaea var. sylvestris is the source of this 1181-nucleotide long non-coding RNA. RefSeq lists it as uncharacterized. The transcript is spliced from 3 exons. The record is from RefSeq and is a predicted model, not a curated record. Lineage: Eukaryota; Viridiplantae; Streptophyta; Magnoliopsida; Lamiales; Oleaceae.